Echinops telfairi (small Madagascar hedgehog) is the source of this 83-nucleotide small nucleolar RNA. Lineage: Eukaryota; Metazoa; Chordata; Mammalia; Afrosoricida; Tenrecidae. The record is from Ensembl.
CGGUCGGUGAUGACGUGACCACUGCGCAAUCUGAGUUUUGGAAACCAGAUGAUGGAGUGUGAGCUAAGCACGGACUGAGGCCG